RNAcentral lists this ribosomal RNA (497 nucleotides) under uncultured bacterium. RNAcentral's name for it is "partial 16S ribosomal RNA". It matches the Rfam family "Bacterial small subunit ribosomal RNA", at positions 28 to 507 of the family's 1533-position model. The record is from RNAcentral.
GAUGAACGCUGGCGGCGUGCCUAAUACAUGCAAGUCGAGCGCAGGGACGAGAAGCUUUCUUCUGUGAUGUUAGCGACGGGCGGGUGAGUAACACUUGGAUAACCUACCUAUAAGACUGGGCUAACUUCGGGAAACCGGCGCUCAUACCAGAUGAUAUUUUGAACCGCAUGGUUCAAAAGUGAAAGACGGUCUUGCUGUCUCUUAUAGCUUGUUCCGCGCUGCAUUAGCUAGUUGGUAAGGUAACGGCUUACCAAGGCAACGAUGCAUAGCCGACCUGAGAGGGUGAUCGGCCACACUGGAACUGAGACACGGUCCAGACUCCUACGGGAGGCAGCAGUAGGGAAUCUUCCGCAAUGGGCGAAAGCCUGACGGAGCAACGCCGCGUGAGUGAUGAAGGUCUUCGGAUCGUAAAACUCUGUUAUUAGGGAAGAACAUAUGUGUAAGUAACUGUGCACAUCUUGACGGUACCUAAUCAGAAAGCCACGGCUAACUACGUG